Molecule: small nuclear RNA, 159 nt
Organism: Phyllostomus hastatus (greater spear-nosed bat)
Lineage: Eukaryota; Metazoa; Chordata; Mammalia; Chiroptera; Phyllostomidae
Product: U1 spliceosomal RNA
Exons: 1
Source: RefSeq, a predicted model, not a curated record
UCAUUUACUUUGCAGGGUGGAUACCAGGGUCCCAAAGGUGGUUUUCCUGGGGCAAGGCUCACCCAUUGCACUCUGGGUGCGCUGACCCCUGUGAUUUCCCCAAAUGUGGAAAACUCAACUGCAUGAUUUGUGGUCGUGGGGGACUGAGUUUGCCUUCUC